Molecule: unclassified non-coding RNA, 223 nt
Filed under: Pseudocercospora norchiensis
Lineage: Eukaryota; Fungi; Ascomycota; Dothideomycetes; Mycosphaerellales; Mycosphaerellaceae
Description: partial internal transcribed spacer region
Rfam family: Eukaryotic small subunit ribosomal RNA (bases 1-46)
Source: RNAcentral
AAGUCGUAACAAGGUCUCCGUAGGUGAACCUGCGGAGGGAUCAUUACUGAGUGAGGGCUCACGCCCGACCUCCAACCCUUUGUGAACACAUCUUGUUGCUUCGGGGGCGACCCUGCCGGCACUUUGUCGCCGGGCGCCCCCGGAGGUCUUCAAACACUGCAUCAAUGCGUCGGAGUUCAAAACAAAUUAAACAAAACUUUCAACAACGGAUCUCUUGGUUCUG